CCUACGGGUGGCAGCAGUGAGGAAUAUUGGUCAAUGGGCGCGAGCCUGAACCAGCCAAGUAGCGUGAAGGAUGACUGCCCUACGGGUUGUAAACUUCUUUUAUAAAGGAAUAAAGUGCGGCACGUCUGCCUUUUUGUAUGUACUUUAUGAAUAAGGAUCGGCCAACUCCGUGCCAGCAGCCGCGGUAAUCCGGAGGGUCCGAGCGUUAUCCGGAUUUAUUGGGUUUAAAGGGAGCGUAGAUGGGUUGUUAAGUCAGGUGUGAAAGUUUGCGGCUCAACCGUAAAAUUGCAAUUGAUACUGGCAGGCGGGAGUGCAGUUGGGGUAGGCGGAAUUCGUGGUGUAGCGGUGAAAUGCUUAGAUAUCACGAAGAACUCCGAUUGCGAAGGCAGCUUACUAAACUGCAACUGACAUUGAUGCUCGAAAGUGUGGGGAUCAAACAGGAUUAGAUACCCGGGUAGUC
RNAcentral lists this ribosomal RNA (460 nucleotides) under uncultured bacterium. RNAcentral describes it as "partial 16S ribosomal RNA". It matches the Rfam family "Bacterial small subunit ribosomal RNA", at positions 338 to 795 of the family's 1533-position model. The record is from RNAcentral.